RNAcentral lists this ribosomal RNA (206 nucleotides) under uncultured Lactobacillus sp. Its description in RNAcentral is "partial 16S ribosomal RNA". It matches the Rfam family "Bacterial small subunit ribosomal RNA", at positions 154 to 354 of the family's 1533-position model. The record is from RNAcentral. Lineage: Bacteria; Bacillati; Bacillota; Bacilli; Lactobacillales; Lactobacillaceae.
AAACAGAUGCUAAUACCGGAUAACAACAGAUGAUGCCUAUCAACUGUUAAAGAUGGUUCUGCUAUCACUCUUGGAUGGACCUGCGGUGCAUUAGCUAGUUGGUAGGGUAACGGCCUACCAAGGCGAUGAUGCAUAGCCGAGUUUAGAGACUGAUCGGCCACAUUGGGACUGAGACACGGCCCAAACUCCUACGGGAGGCAGCAGAG